CCAUCUUUGGAGUUAUUUAAAAACAAAAUAAGAAGGGGGAAAAGGCAUUUUUAUAGAGCUCUUACAAACUUUAUUUGUCAGUGACUGGUUAACAAAAACUAUAUAUACAGAAAAAUCCUUAUAUGAGUCACUACUCUAAGUAUGUCUAAGACAAAGACCAUUAUGAUGUAUCUAUAGAAAGGUCUUAAAUCAGACAACAUUCAUUUUAAUAUUAUUAAUACAGAUCAACUGACAGUAGAUAAUAGAAAUUAUUCCAUAUUGAUAAAACUUUGGUAGGUUUUUAUGCCCCAUUUAUGGGCAUUAUGUUUUCUGGUCUGUGCGUCCGUCCGUCCGUCUGUUCGUUCGUUCGUCCGUUCGUCCGUCUGUCCCGCUUCAGGUUAAAGUUUUUGGUCGAGGUAGUUUUUGAUGAAGUUGAAGUCUAAUCAACUUGAAACUUAGUAUAUAUGUUCUGUAUGAUAUGAUCUUUCUAAUUUUAAUUCCAAAUUAGAGAUUUAACCCCAUUUUCAUGGUCCACUGAACAUAGAAAAUGAUAGUGCGGAUGGGGCAUCCGUGUACUGGGGACACAUUCUUGUUCUAUAUGAAUGGGAUUUUGAAUAAAUAAGCAUAUUCACCUACGGAAAAAGGAUAUUCACUGCGCAUAACGUCGCGUGCUUUUACCUGCACUAUUUUAGUAAAAAAACGAUUGAUGUACAAUUGGUUUUGGUUAAUAAUUGCCAUUACAUACAUUUCUCUCGGAAUAUGGAAUAAAACAAUUACUGUCUUUUGUUUCGGUAAAUAUGUGGUUUAAUUGACUUUUGAAAAACUGAUAUUCACUUCGGCCGUUGGCCUCAGUGAAUAUCAGUUUUUCAAAAGUCAAUAAAACUACACAUUUACCUCAUCAAAAGACAGUAAUUGUAUAGUAU
Molecule: long non-coding RNA, 902 nt
Filed under: Mytilus galloprovincialis (Mediterranean mussel)
Lineage: Eukaryota; Metazoa; Mollusca; Bivalvia; Mytilida; Mytilidae
Source: RNAcentral